CCCGGGUCUUGUACACACCGCCCGUCACACCAUGGGAGCGGGUUUCACCAGAAGUAGGUAGCUUAACCGCAAGAGGCGCUUACCACGGUGGGAUUCGCGACUGGGGUG
This 108-nucleotide ribosomal RNA is filed under the name uncultured bacterium. RNAcentral's name for it is "partial 16S ribosomal RNA". It matches the Rfam family "Bacterial small subunit ribosomal RNA", at positions 1373 to 1482 of the family's 1533-position model. The record is from RNAcentral.